Molecule: ribosomal RNA, 204 nt
Filed under: Triticum aestivum (bread wheat)
Lineage: Eukaryota; Viridiplantae; Streptophyta; Magnoliopsida; Poales; Poaceae
Description: partial small subunit ribosomal RNA
Source: RNAcentral
AUGGCUGCCCCACAAGACCUCCGCAAGGGUUUUGCUUUGCUAACCAUCAUCACCGCAUGGGCCAUUUGGAAGCGCAGGAACACAAUCGUCUUUGAUGGCAUACAACCCUCCCACGCUCAACUCCUAUCCAACAUCAAGGAUGAAGCCCGACGAUGGGGACGCGCAGGCGCCAAGAUACUAGCUAUGAUCCUCCUUGUAACUUGA